This 218-nucleotide unclassified non-coding RNA is filed under the name uncultured Gammaproteobacteria bacterium. RNAcentral describes it as "contains 16S-23S intergenic spacer region". It matches the Rfam family "Bacterial small subunit ribosomal RNA", at positions 980 to 1197 of the family's 1533-position model. Lineage: Bacteria; Pseudomonadati; Pseudomonadota; Gammaproteobacteria. The record is from RNAcentral.
UACCCUUGACAUGUCUGGAAGCCCGGUGAGAGCUGGGUGUGCCUGAAAGGGAACCGGAACACAGGUGCUGCAUGGCUGUCGUCAGCUCGUGUCGUGAGAUGUUGGGUUAAGUCCCGCAACGAGCGCAACCCUUGUCCCUAGUUGCUACGCAAGGGCACUCUAGGGAGACUGCCGGUGACAAACCGGAGGAAGGUGGGGAUGACGUUUCUAGGAGGGUG